This 47-nucleotide ribosomal RNA is filed under the name Castor canadensis (American beaver). The record is from RNAcentral. Lineage: Eukaryota; Metazoa; Chordata; Mammalia; Rodentia; Castoridae.
CCUUGUACGUGCUUGAUCUCUUCUGAUCUCAGAAGCUAAGCAGGGUU